Molecule: unclassified non-coding RNA, 261 nt
Filed under: Hevea brasiliensis (rubber tree)
Lineage: Eukaryota; Viridiplantae; Streptophyta; Magnoliopsida; Malpighiales; Euphorbiaceae
Source: RNAcentral
GGAAAUCAUAUGCAUUUUCUGGAUGACGAGAUUUUGUGCACCUAUGUGUAUGAUGGAUAAUCUCCUCCACGAUGAACUUUUUAAUUUAUGGUUUUUCAGAAGUCUAGUGUUGGAAACACCAUAUGCAUAUUCUAGAGUAAGUGGGCAUCACUUUGUAUUGGAUGCUUUGUUGUAGAAGCUGGCCGCUGGGCUACUGGCUAGGCAAGGUAGAUAUUACCGUGCAAAGAUAUCAUACGAGCUGAGCUUGUUAAUGAUUUUGAU